This 465-nucleotide long non-coding RNA is filed under the name Cavia porcellus (domestic guinea pig). RNAcentral's name for it is "lncRNA (ENSCPOG00000038024.1)". The record is from RNAcentral. Lineage: Eukaryota; Metazoa; Chordata; Mammalia; Rodentia; Caviidae.
UCCCGGCGCCUCAGGCAGCUGCAGCAGCUUCGAAGCGGCUGCCACCGCACCUGGGCAGUCUGGACCCUCGUGCCCUGCUCCCGGGGCCUCGCGCGGUGAGCGCCCCGGGACACCCCUGCGGGCCGGGUGGAGGAGGAGAAAGAAGAAUAAGAGGAAGACGUGGACCAGGAUCCCCAACCUCCCCACAACACCUGGCCUCUCCGCUUCCACUUCUUUCACACGAGGAGAGAGGAGCCAGCGAGAGCCAUGGGGGGCUGCGAAGUCCGAGAAUUUCUUUGGCAAUUUGGAUUCUUUUUGCCUCUGAGGACAGCUUGGCCGGGCUACUGUAGUCACGUCUCCAACAACCAAGUUGUGUUGCUUGAUACAACUACUGUGCUGGGUGAACUAGGAUGGAAGACGUAUCCAUUAAAUGGGGUGAGUUUAAGUGUGUUAAAAUUCUCAUCCUCUUUAGGUUUUAGGACUUGG